RNAcentral lists this non-coding RNA (30 nucleotides) under Rattus norvegicus (Norway rat). The record is from RNAcentral. Lineage: Eukaryota; Metazoa; Chordata; Mammalia; Rodentia; Muridae.
UAAGGUGGUCUGAUGACAUCACAGCUUAGA